GCGGCGGACGGGUGAGUAACACGUGGGCAACCUGCCCUGUAGACGGGGAUAACACCGAGAAAUCGGUGCUAAUACCGGAUAACACGAAAGACCGCAUGGUUUUUCGUUGAAAGGUGGCGCAAGCUGUCGCUACAGGAUGGGCCCGCGGCGCAUUAGCUAGUUGGUGAGGUAACGGCUCACCAAGGCGACGAUGCGUAGCCGACCUGAGAGGGUGAUCGGCCACACUGGGACUGAGACACGGCCCAGACUCCUACGGGAGGCAGCAGUAGGGAAUCUUCCGCAAUGGACGAAAGUCUGACGGAGCAACGCCGCGUGAGCGAAGAAGGCCUUCGGGUCGUAAAGCUCUGUUGUUAGGGAAGAACAAGUACCGCAGUCACUGGCGGUACCUUGACGGUACCUAACGAGAAAGCCACGGCUAACUACGUGCCAGCAGCCGCGGUAAUAC
Molecule: ribosomal RNA, 445 nt
Filed under: Anoxybacillus sp. G24D023
Lineage: Bacteria; Bacillati; Bacillota; Bacilli; Caryophanales; Anoxybacillaceae
Also listed under: 14 other names
Description: bacterial SSU rRNA
Rfam family: Bacterial small subunit ribosomal RNA
Source: RNAcentral